RNAcentral lists this ribosomal RNA (1000 nucleotides) under Myxobolus catli. Its description in RNAcentral is "bacterial SSU rRNA". It matches the Rfam family "Eukaryotic small subunit ribosomal RNA", at positions 65 to 939 of the family's 1831-position model. The record is from RNAcentral. Lineage: Eukaryota; Metazoa; Cnidaria; Myxozoa; Bivalvulida; Myxobolidae.
ACGAAAUUUUUUAUCGUGAAGACUGCGGACGGCUCAGUAUAUCAGUGAUUAUCUGUUUGAUUGUCUUACCCAUUGGAUAACCGUGGGAAAUCUAGAGCUAAUACAUGCAAUUUUAUUGGUGUUAUCGCAAGGUAGCAUCAAAGCAUUUAUUAGACUUAACCAUCUACCGUGUGGCAACAUACGGUAAGGCGAAUCUAGAUAACUUUGCUGAUCGUAUGGUCUCGUACCGACGACGUUUCAAUUGAGUUUCUGCCCUAUCAAUUUGUUGGUAAGGUAUUGGCUUACCAAGGUUGCAACGGGUAACGGGGAAUCAGGGUUCGAUUCCGGAGAGGGAGCCUGAGAAACGGCUACCACAUCCAAGGAAGGCAGCAGGCGCGCAAAUUACCCAAUCUAGACAGUAGGAGGUGGUGAAAGAGAAAGUACUGAGUGGUGGGCCAAAAUGGGCUGCCAAACUUGGGAAAUGAAACGUAAUUUAAAGCAAUUUCGGGUGAGUAAACUACUGGGAGGGGCAAAGUCCCUGGGUGCCCAGCAGCCCGCGGGUAAUUUCCAGCUCCCGGUGGGCGUGAUUUAAAAGUUUGCUGCCGUUAAAACCGCCUCGUAGUUUGGGAUCACGCAAUAAUUAAUCAGUUUAUCUAGAUGCAGGGCGAUGUUUGACGAUUUUUCCAAGUGAUUAUUGAAAUCAUUGCCGGGUCUAGAUGUUUAUGCUGGGUUGCUACUAUUUGCACACAAGUAUGGGCAUUUGGCCUUAAGUGAGUCGAGUGUCAUGUCUUGUGGAGUGUGCCUUUGAAUAAAACAGAGUGCUCAAAGCAGGCGUACGCUUGAAUGUUAUAGCAUGGAACGAACAAACGUGUAUUUGCGUACGUGUUUCAAGUGUCCGGGGCAACUUGGCAUUGUACAUGUAUGCAGCACCGCCAAAUACGGAUGUGGUUUUCGUAUUAGUGAUGAUAACAGAGCGUUGGGGCAUGUAUUGCCGCGAGAGUGAAAUCUAGACGCAGACUAC